UGCCCAGUGCUCUGAAGAAGUUUAACCAAGCGCGGGUAAACAGAGGGAGUAACUAUGACUCUCUUAAAGUAGCCAAAUGCCUCUUCAUCUAAUUAGUGACGCGCAU
This 106-nucleotide non-coding RNA is filed under the name Hydatigera taeniaeformis. Its description in RNAcentral is "Taenia taeniaeformis Eukaryotic large subunit ribosomal RNA". It matches the Rfam family "Eukaryotic large subunit ribosomal RNA", at positions 2199 to 2316 of the family's 3401-position model. The record is from Rfam by way of RNAcentral. Lineage: Eukaryota; Metazoa; Platyhelminthes; Cestoda; Cyclophyllidea; Taeniidae.